UGCGGCCAGCUGUCUGGGUGUUGGUCAGGAGGUCCGGGCUCAGGCUGUAAGACAGGGCAUUAGUGCCCAGGGUGGACUAUGUAAUUGAGGUACAGUCGAGUGGUGUGCAUGUUGAUCCUCAUUCGGGGUCUCUGGGUAGCCCCAGAGGUCAAUGUUUUUCUUCUGGAGGGCAGGCAGAGUGCUGCAUAAUGGCUCCAGAAUUGCCAAACUUGAAGGCUU
This is a long non-coding RNA of Mustela erminea (ermine), 219 nucleotides long. RefSeq lists it as uncharacterized. The transcript is spliced from 3 exons. Lineage: Eukaryota; Metazoa; Chordata; Mammalia; Carnivora; Mustelidae. The record is from RefSeq and is a predicted model, not a curated record.